Molecule: long non-coding RNA, 457 nt
Filed under: Homo sapiens (human)
Lineage: Eukaryota; Metazoa; Chordata; Mammalia; Primates; Hominidae
Description: HSALNT0361317
Source: RNAcentral
CAUGAGUUCUUCUGUUUCUUCUGCGUGGGUUGACCAUGGGCAUCAGGCAUCAGAGAUACAACUCUGGAUCUUGUCCAUCCAUUGCUGGGCACUCUGUCCAUCCUGGGCGCAGAAGUUAUACACACGUUUGCUGGUCUUGAGCUACAAAACCAAAUGACAGUGAACCAGAGAUGAAGGGCAGGGCUGUUUUAUGGAUUUGGGCAUGGUAUGAGCAGGGCUAAGUGGAAAAAACUGUAUCUAUCUUUCAUGUUAAAGAAGUCCAGAAGACUGACCUCUGGGGAAAGACUGCUGCUUUCUGCUGGGAUUACCACAUCUGUGAGGCUUGGAAUGAUCAGUAGCCAUCCUUUGUGCCAUGUUGGGACUGACAUAACACAGAGAGAGGGCAAAGCAGAGCCAGGAAGUGGAUAGAAGAUACUGUGUGAGAAGCUAGCAUACCCUUGGCUGUCCUAGCUUAUGU